This 493-nucleotide ribosomal RNA is filed under the name uncultured bacterium. RNAcentral's name for it is "partial 16S ribosomal RNA". It matches the Rfam family "Bacterial small subunit ribosomal RNA", at positions 29 to 523 of the family's 1533-position model. The record is from RNAcentral.
AUUGAACGCUGGCGGCAUGCUUUACACAUGCAAGUCGAACGGUAACAGGUUAAGCUGACGAGUGGCGAACGGGUGAGUAAUGCAUCGGAACGCGCCCGAUCGUGGGGGAUAACGCAGCGAAAGCUGCGCUAAUACCGCAUACGAUCUGAGGAUGAAAGCGGGGGACCGUAAGGCCUCGCGCGAUCGGAGCGGCCGAUGUCAGAUUAGGUAGUUGGGGGGGUAAGGGCUCACCAAGCCGACGAUCUGUAGCUGGUUUGAGAGGACGACCAGCCACACUGGGACUGGGACACGGCCCAGACUUCUACGGGAGGCAGCAGUGGGGAAUUUUGGACAAUGGGCGCAAGCCUGAUCCAGCAAUGCCGCGUGCAGGAAGAAGGCCUUCGGGUUGUAAACUGCUUUUGUACGGAGCGAAAAGGCUCUCUCUAAUACAGGGGGCUCAUGACGGUACCGUAAGAAUAAGCACCGGCUAACUACGUGCCAGCAGCCGCCGUAA